AAAAUCUGCUAUAAAUAAAUUUUCGCUCCUGUCCAAACAGGUCCAUAUCGGGAUUACUACUUGAUCGCAGUCGUCUAAUAUCAACCCUAGCUCAGCCCCGCUCGGCUCAGCUGUAUAUUCUGGACUUGCAUGAUCUGAAAUAGUAAAGAGGGAGAGAGGGAGAGAGAAUUGAUCUGAUCCGGCCAUCCCAAUUGAAGCAUGGAAAGGAUCGUCGGCGGCAAGUUCAAGCUCGGCCGGAAGAUCGGUAGUGGAUCCUUCGGAGAAAUCUUUCUCGCCACGCAUAUCGAUACCUUUGAGAUCGUUGCUGUGAAGAUUGAGAACAAUAAGACUAAGCACCCACAACUCUUAUAUGAAGCCAAGUUAUACAACUUUCUUCAGGGUGGAAGUGGCAUUCCUGGUAUAAAGUGGUCCGGCGUUGAUGGGGAUGACAAUGUCCUAGUAAUUGAUUUGCUGGGGCCAAGUCUUGAGGAUCUCUUUGUCUACUGUGGCAGGAAGUUUUCCUUGAAAACUGUAUUAAUGUUGGCUGAUCAGAUGAUAACAAGAAUUGAGUAUGUGCAUUCUAAAGGGUUUCUUCACAGAGAUAUCAAGCCUGAUAACUUUCUCAUGGGUCUUGGUCGAAAAGCAAAUCAGGUCUACAUCAUUGAUUUUGGUCUUGCAAAAAGAUAUCGUGAUGCAACUACUAACCGGCACAUCCCCUACAGGGAGAAUAAGAAUUUAACAGGGACUGCGCGCUAUGCAAGUUGUAACACUCAUCUUGGAAUUGAGCAGAGCCGACGGGAUGACUUGGAAUCUCUUGGAUAUGUACUUCUAUAUUUCUUGAGAGGAAGCCUUCCAUGGCAGGGUUUGAAAGCUGCCACAAAGAAACAAAAGUAUGACAAAAUAUGUGAGAAGAAGUUGUCUACUCCUAUUGAGGUUUUAUGUAAGUCUCAUCCAGUGGAGUUCGCAUCAUACUUCCAUUACUGCCAUUCAUUGACAUUUGAUCAGCGGCCUGAUUAUGGAUUCUUGAAACGCCUCUUUCGUGAUCUGUUUACGCGUGAAGGGUGUGAAUCCGAUUACAUAUUUGACUGGACUAUCUUAAAAUAUCAGCAGUCACAGUCAAGCAAAGUGCAGCAACGGCCAAUGCCUGCUGAGAGCAGUCGGGCAGUUCAAAUGGACGUAGAAAAACAUCAAGCUGGCAAUAGCGCGCCUUUUUCAGCUGAGAUGGCUGACCGUAUAAGAUCAAACAAUGCUUCGAGUCCUGGCAUCCGCAUGCAAUUUAAAUCGCCUCCAAAUAGGAAUAUGACUUCUGGAAAUCCUCUUGAGAGAAAUGUUUUGAACACUGCACAAAUGCCAUCUACUUCGUUUGCCCCUCCUGGUGUACCAAAAGGCAAUGUUUCAAGGCCUAAUUUAUCAGCUGAAAUCUCAAAUUCUGGUCAUGGACAUGGAGAAAGUACCGGUCCUUCUAGCAGCUGGAUUUCUUCGCUGCGUCGCAUUUCUUCUGCAAAGAAUGUAUGAUCACCAACCGCUCGAUCUGGGUUCUGUGAAUAGAUUGCUGAUGUGUCAGUGCAAACAUAUGGGGGAUUCAGAGGUGCAAUGUUAUCAGAUGGUUACCUGCUUGCAUUAGAUUCAAAUGUGGUUUACUCUUGCAUGCUGACUGUUUCUUGCACUUUGAGACAAUCUGGCGAUGCAUCAUAUAUGCACGAAGGUGCAUGAGAGCAAGUUGAUUGACUGUCUUGUAGAAGAUUAGAGCUUGAUUCGGGCAUUUUCCUCCUCCCUGGAAGCUUGGGUGAAGAUAUCUUUCCUAUGACAAGGGUACACAUAAUCCUUUCACAAAGAUCAGAGCUCGCUUCUGCUGUUGUAUAUAGAUGUAACGAACUAGGUGCUGCAACUAUGUUAAGUUUGAUGUAAAGUAAAUGACGUGCAAAGUGUUCCUCUGCUCAACAGAUUCAUGCAGCUCCCUUGUGCAGUUGGUGGCUGCAAAAAUUAUUUUUUCACUUGCUUCAUGGUUACAAGUUGCUUAUGUUGUAAGCAUUAUUGCUUUUGGUUGUCUUCUGCAACAAAAUGGGGCCAUGAGUUUGCAAGUGGCAAUGAAUGUCACUCAACAAUGGUUAGGAAGCUUAUAUAGGAAAUGCCACUGCCCCUACUUUUUACUACAGGAAUCUGCUAAACAUCGUCUUUUUUAUCAUCAGUGCAGAUAUGGAAGGAAAUCUCAAUCUUAAUUUUUGGCCUCCUGUUAUGGAUUUUACGUCUUGGAAGACAAAAGCGUGCUUUCAAUGUGAUCUGCAGAUGCACAUGGCCGAUUUAUGGCCUCAAAGCUUGUGAUCUGUGGUGCUUCAUUUCCCUGAAUUCCUUUUCUUGGUGUGAAUAAUGUGAUGCACUGGAUUGCUGAAGGUCCUUUCCUCAUGUAUUGAUCGCUAUCGUGGUCUUGUGCUGAUUAGGCUUUGCUAAAAGGUGCAGAAGAUAGAAGGGGAUUAGUACUGAAGAAGCUGGCAGCAGAGGUGGUCCUGAUUGCAGUUUCUUACAUUUGUAUUCACUGAUAUAAUUUCUGAACUAUGAUGAGAGAGCAUGAUAAUACUAUGUGCCAGAGUGGGUAUAUAGUUCAUACUAAAGGUCUGCUGGCAUUCCUUCAUA
RNA transcript from Coffea eugenioides, 2610 nucleotides. It is a transcript of the gene named casein kinase 1-like protein 3, with no coding region annotated. NCBI's taxonomy places the organism in Eukaryota, Viridiplantae, Streptophyta, Magnoliopsida, Gentianales, Rubiaceae. The record is from RefSeq and is a predicted model, not a curated record. The transcript is spliced from 16 exons.